UAUGGGCGAGAGCCUGAACCAGCCANCNAGCGUGAAGGAUGACUGGGGGUNUUCNNNNUGUAAANGGNNNAAAAAAAGGAAUAAAGUCGGGUAUGGAUUNCCCUUUGCAUGGNGNNAAAGAAUAAGGAUCGGAGUAACUCCGUGCCAGCAGCCGCGGUAAUACGGAGGAUCCGAGCGUUAUCCGGAUUUAUNGGGUUUAAAGGGAGCGUAGAUGGAUGUUUAAGUCAGUUGUGAAAGUUUGCGGCUCAACCGUAAAAUUGCAGUUGAUACUGGAUAUCUNGAGUGCAGUUGAGGCAGGCGGAAUUCGUGGUGUAGCGGUGAAAUGCUUAGAUAUCACGAAGAACUCCGAUUGCGAAGGCAGCUCACUAGACUGUUACUGACACAGGAUGCUCGAAAGUGUGGGUAGCAAACAGGAUUAGAUACCCUGGUAGUCCAAGGGCGAAUUC
Molecule: ribosomal RNA, 446 nt
Filed under: uncultured bacterium
Lineage: Bacteria
Description: partial small subunit ribosomal RNA
Rfam family: Bacterial small subunit ribosomal RNA
Source: RNAcentral